Molecule: ribosomal RNA, 253 nt
Filed under: uncultured bacterium
Lineage: Bacteria
Description: partial 16S ribosomal RNA
Rfam family: Bacterial small subunit ribosomal RNA
Source: RNAcentral
UACGUAGGGUGCAAGCGUUAAUCGGAAUUACUGGGCGUAAAGCGUGCGCAGGCGGCGCCGCAAGUCAGGCGUGAAAUCCCCGAGCUCAACUUGGGAAUUGCGCUUGAAACUACGGUGCUGGAGUUUGGCAGAGGGAGGUGGAAUUCCACGUGUAGCGGUGAAAUGCGUAGAGAUGUGGAGGAACACCGAUGGCGAAGGCAGCCUCCUGGGCCAAUACUGACGCUCAUGCACGAAAGCGUGGGGAGCAAACAGG